Molecule: ribosomal RNA, 490 nt
Filed under: uncultured bacterium
Lineage: Bacteria
Description: partial 16S ribosomal RNA
Rfam family: Bacterial small subunit ribosomal RNA
Source: RNAcentral
AUUGAACGCUGGCGGCAGGCCUAACACAUGCAAGUCGAAUGGUAACAGGAAACAUCUUGCUGUUUCGCUGACGAGUGGCGGACGGGUGAGUAAUGUCUGGGAAACUGCCUGAUGGAGGGGGAUAACUACUGGAAACGGUAGCUAAUACCGCAUAACGUCGCAAGACCAAAGAGGGGGACCUUCGGGCCUCUUGCCAUCAGUUGUGCCCAGAUGGGAUUAGCUAGUAGGUGGGGUAACGGCUCACCUAGGCGACGAUCCCUAGCUGGUCUGAGAGGAUGACCAGCCACACUGGAACUGAGACACGGUCCAGACUCCUACGGGAGGCAGCAGUGGGGAAUAUUGCACAAUGGGCGCAAGCCUGAUGCAGCCAUGCCGCGUGUAUGAAGAAGGCCUUCGGGUUGUAAAGUACUUUCAGCGGGGAGGAAGGGAGUAAAGUUAAUACCUUUGCUCAUUGACGUUACCCGCAGAAGAAGCACCGGCUAACUCCGUG